GAUGAACGCUGGCGGCGUGCCUAAUACAUGCAAGUCGAGCGAACAGACGAGGAGCUUGCUCCUCUGACGUUAGCGGCGGACGGGUGAGUAACACGUGGAUAACCUACCUAUAAGACUGGGAUAACUUCGGGAAACCGGAGCUAAUACCGGAUAAUAUAUUGAACCGCAUGGUUCAAUAGUGAAAGACGGUUUUGCUGUCACUUAUAGAUGGAUCCGCGCCGCAUUAGCUAGUUGGUAAGGUAACGGCUUACCAAGGCAACGAUGCGUAGCCGACCUGAGAGGGUGAUCGGCCACACUGGAACUGAGACACGGCCCAGACUCCUACGGGAGGCAGCAGUAGGGAAUCUUCCGCGAUGGGCGAAAGCCUGACGGAGCAACGCCGCGUGAGUGAUGAAGGUCUUCGGAUCGUAAAACUCUGUUAUUAGGGAAGAACAAAUGUGUAAGUAACUAUGCACGUCUUGACGGUACCUAAUCAGAAAGCCACGGCUAACUACGUG
RNAcentral lists this ribosomal RNA (497 nucleotides) under uncultured bacterium. Its description in RNAcentral is "partial 16S ribosomal RNA". It matches the Rfam family "Bacterial small subunit ribosomal RNA", at positions 28 to 507 of the family's 1533-position model. The record is from RNAcentral.